UACGAAGGGAGCUAGCGUUGUUCGGAAUCACUGGGCGUAAAGCGCACGUAGGCGGAUGUGUCAGUCAGGGGUGAAAUCCCGGAGCUCAACUUCGGAACUGCCUUUGAUACAGCACAUCUGGAGUCCGGAAGAGGUGGGUGGAAUUCCUAGUGUAGAGGUGAAAUUCGUAGAUAUUAGGAAGAACACCGGUGGCGAAGGCGGCCCAACUGGUCCGGUACUGACGCUGAGGUGCGAAAGCGUGGGGAGCAAACAGGA
This 255-nucleotide ribosomal RNA is filed under the name uncultured bacterium. Its description in RNAcentral is "partial 16S ribosomal RNA". It matches the Rfam family "Bacterial small subunit ribosomal RNA", at positions 524 to 777 of the family's 1533-position model. The record is from RNAcentral.